GAUGAAGAACGUAGCGAAAUGCGAUAAGUAAUGUGAAUUGCAGAAUUCAGUGAAUCAUCGAAUCUUUGAACGCACAUUGCGCCCGCCAGUAUUCUGGCGGGCAUGCCUGUUCGAGCGUCAUUUCAACCCUCAGGCCCCCAGUGCCUGGUGUUGGGGAUCGGCCCAGCCUUCCCGUAAGGCCGCCGGCCCCGAAAUCUAGUGGCGGUCUCGCUGUAGUCCUCCUCUGCGUAGUAGCACAGCCUCGCAGUUGGAACGCGGCGGUGGCCAUGCCGUUAAACACCCCACUUCUGAAAGUUGACCUCGGAUCAGGUAGGAAUACCCGCUGAACUUAAGCAUAUCAAUAAGCGGAGGA
RNAcentral lists this unclassified non-coding RNA (352 nucleotides) under soil metagenome. Its description in RNAcentral is "partial contains 5.8S ribosomal RNA, internal transcribed spacer 2, and large subunit ribosomal RNA". The stretch from base 1 to 120 matches the Rfam family "5.8S ribosomal RNA", at positions 35 to 154 of the family's 154-position model. The record is from RNAcentral.